GAGCGGCGCACGGGUGCGGAACACGUGUGCAACCUGCCUUUAUCUGGGGGAUAGCCUUUCGAAAGGAAGAUUAAUACCCCAUAAUAUAUUGAGUGGCAUCACUUGAUAUUGAAAACUCCGGUGGAUAGAGAUGGGCACGCGCAAGAUUAGAUAGUUGGUGAGGUAACGGCUCACCAAGUCAAUGAUCUUUAGGGGGCCUGAGAGGGUGAUCCCCCACACUGGUACUGAGACACGGACCAGACUCCUACGGGAGGCAGCAGUGAGGAAUAUUGGACAAUGGGUGAGAGCCUGAUCCAGCCAUCCCGCGUGAAGGACGACGGCCCUAUGGGUUGUAAACUUCUUUUGUACAGGGAUAAACCUACCCUCGUGAGGGUAGCUGAAGGUACUGUACGAAUAAGCACCGGCUAACUCCGUGCCAGCAGCCGCGGUAAUACGGAGGGUGCAAGCGUUAUCCGGAUUUAUUGGGUUUAAAGGGUCCGUAGGCGGAUCUGUAAGUCAGUGGUGAAAUCUCACAGCUUAACUGUGAAACUGCCAUUGAUACUGCAGGUCUUGAGUAAAUUUGAAG
Molecule: ribosomal RNA, 565 nt
Filed under: Chryseobacterium gleum
Lineage: Bacteria; Pseudomonadati; Bacteroidota; Flavobacteriia; Flavobacteriales; Weeksellaceae
Description: bacterial SSU rRNA
Rfam family: Bacterial small subunit ribosomal RNA
Source: RNAcentral